This 492-nucleotide ribosomal RNA is filed under the name uncultured bacterium. Its description in RNAcentral is "partial 16S ribosomal RNA". It matches the Rfam family "Bacterial small subunit ribosomal RNA", at positions 29 to 507 of the family's 1533-position model. The record is from RNAcentral.
AGUGAACGCUGGCGGUAGGCCUAACACAUGCAAGUCGAACGGCAGCACAGUAAGAGCUUGCUCUUACGGGUGGCGAGUGGCGGACGGGUGAGGAAUACAUCGGAAUCUACUUUUUCGUGGGGGAUAACGUAGGGAAACUUACGCUAAUACCGCAUACGACCUACGGGUGAAAGCAGGGGAUCUUCGGACCUUGCGCGAUUGAAUGAGCCGAUGUCGGAUUAGCUAGUUGGCGGGGUAAAGGCCCACCAAGGCGACGAUCCGUAGCUGGUCUGAGAGGAUGAUCAGCCACACUGGAACUGGGACACGGUCCAGACUCCUACGGGACGCAGCAGUGGCGAAUAUUGGACAAUGGGCGCAAGCCUGACACAGCCAUACCGCGUGGGUGAAGAAGGCCUUCGGGUUGUAAAGCCCCUUUGUUGGGAAAGAAAAGCAGCAGGUUAAUACCCCGCUGUUCUGACGGUACCCAAAGAAUAAGCACCGGCUAACUUCGUG